This 433-nucleotide ribosomal RNA is filed under the name uncultured bacterium. Its description in RNAcentral is "partial 16S ribosomal RNA". It matches the Rfam family "Bacterial small subunit ribosomal RNA", at positions 29 to 507 of the family's 1533-position model. The record is from RNAcentral.
AACGAACGCUGGCGGCAUGCCUAACACAUGCAAGUCGAACGAGACCUUCGGGUCUAGUGGCGCACGGGUGCGUAACGCGUGGGAACCUGCCCUUAGGUUCGGAAUAACUCCCCGAAAGGGGUGCUAAUACCGGAUAAUGUCUUCGGACCAAAGAUUUAUCGCCUUUGGAUGGGCCCGCGUUGGAUUAGCUAGUUGGUAGGGUAAAAGCCUACCAAGGCGACGAUCCAUAGCUGGUCUGAGAGGAUGAUCAGCCACACUGGGACUGAGACACGGCCCAGACUCCUACGGGAGGCAGCAGUGGGGAAUAUUGGACAAUGGGCGAAAGCCUGAUCCAGCAAUGCCGCGUGAGUGAUGAAGGCCUUAGGGUUGUAAAGCUCUUUUACCCGAGAUGAUAAUGACAGUACCGGGAGAAUAAGCUCCGACUAACUCCGUG